UGGGGAAUAUUGCACAAUGGACGAAAGUCUGAUGCAGCAACGCCGCGUGGAGGAUGACACAUUUCGGUGCGUAAACUCCUUUUAUAUAAGAAGAUAAUGACGGUAUUAUAUGAAUAAGCACCGGCUAACUCCGUGCCAGCAGCCGCGGUAAUA
This 153-nucleotide ribosomal RNA is filed under the name uncultured bacterium. Its description in RNAcentral is "partial 16S ribosomal RNA". It matches the Rfam family "Bacterial small subunit ribosomal RNA", at positions 355 to 525 of the family's 1533-position model. The record is from RNAcentral.